This 439-nucleotide ribosomal RNA is filed under the name uncultured bacterium. Its description in RNAcentral is "partial 16S ribosomal RNA". It matches the Rfam family "Bacterial small subunit ribosomal RNA", at positions 339 to 795 of the family's 1533-position model. The record is from RNAcentral.
CUACGGGGGGCAGCAGUGGGGUAUAUUGCACAAUGGAGGAAACUCUGAUGCAGCAACGCCGCGUGGAGGAUGACACUUUUCGGAGCGUAAACUCCUUUUAUAUAGGAAGAAGAUGACGGUACUAUAUGAAUAAGCGCCGGCUAACUCCGUGCCAGCAGCCGCGGUAAUACGGAGGGCGCAAGCGUUACUCGGAAUCACUGGGCGUAAAGAGCGUGUAGGCGGAUUAAAAAGUCAGAAGUGAAAUCCUAUAGCUUAACUAUAGAACUGCUUCUGAAACUCUUAAUCUAGAAUAUGGGAGAGGUAGAUGGAAUUUCUGGUGUAGGGGUAAAAUCCGUAGAGAUCAGAAGGAAUACCGAUCGCGAAGGCGAUCUACUAGAACAUUAUUGACGCUGAGACGCGAAAGCGUGGGGAGCAAACAGGAUUAGAUACCCCGGUAGUC